CACAAAUAUCUUACAGUUUCUGCUUCUCAAGUCCUGGGAUUACUAGACUGAUUCUCUGGUUUUUAGACACAUAAAACUCAGUGGUUCAUACAUGUAAUACAAGUCUCUUGCUGAAUGACCAUCUACAGAGCUAUUAAUAUUUUUGCUUGAGGUAAAAAAAAAUACAUAUACUUUAUUAUAACCCAAGGAGCAUGUUGAAACAGACACUUUGAAACCUUCCAUUUUUCCUCAGUCCCAUCUGUGAUGCUGUCUUCUGAGUUCACUCUCAAGGAUCAACUUAACGUUUCUGGAUGCUGCACUGAAAUAUGAGGACAUGGAAAAGUGUCUGUGCUGAACCUGUCUGUGAUCCUAACACAUGCAGUGGAAAAUGAGAAGCACAGAGGACUCUCUCACAUAUCACAUCUCACAGGUGAAUUAAUCAUCUGUCAAAGAUCUUAGCUACAUUCGCUCUGUAUUACAGAAUGUUUGAACACAUUUUCAGUUAAUCAAAUGAUAAAAGUCCGCAUUUCAUUAACUUAGAGAAAGGUGUGAGGAAGCAGCAGAAUGCCCCCUAGCCAGGUCACUUCCCACACAGAGGUCACUUCCGGUUCCGGGAGGUGCCACGGUGUCAGCUGGAAGCAGCCUGGGAAUCCGGACAGAUGGGUGGGGCCACAAUUGGAGACACUGAAGUCAGCUGCUCCCUGCACAGCAUGUCGACCUAGAUUCUGGUGUGGGAGCUGGAGAGGAGAGCAGAGGAGCUGCUGUGAUCGCGGGUGGCGCUGCUGUGGCUGCUGCUGCUCUAAAAUCUGACAGUGCUUCCAGGGCACUGAGGAGCUGCCUCCCCCACCUCCAGCUCCUGGACAUGAGCAGCGACCAGCUCAUGGGGCUGGGACCCGAGCUCCUGUGGCUGCUGCUGCCCCACAGCCAACCAUCUGACAUCCCUGCCAGGGAGGUGAGCAGCAGCCUCCCCCACCUCUGGUUCCUGGACAACAGCAGGGAGCAGCUCAUGGCUCUGGGACCCCAGCUGCUGACUCAGAGCAUCCUGAGCAUGCUGAUGCACAGGAACAACAGGCUUGACAACACAGCCUUGCUGCUGGAGGGACUUGUCCUGUCUCUACUCUGUCUCAGACUCCAGAAUGCUCUUCGCCCUGCAUCUCUGCCUCACACAGCUGCACCUCUCAGAAUGAGUCUGACUCAGAAGCUGAAGCCAGUGAUCCUGCACACAGAAUGCACAAUGUUCUUCUUGGUUAAAAUCUUUGCGUGUAGAAAAUCUUAAACUAAGCAAAGAUAAUUAAAAAAGAAAAUGGAGCUUGAAUUUGAUUGUAACGCUCAGUGGUUUCAUCUUGAAUGUCCAUGUGAGAGUUACAAAGAUGUGUUAGAUUUUGCAUUUCAUGUAUCUGUUUAGCAUCGUUGCGCCUAGAUCUGUGUUUACAUUCUUUAAGUAUUAUUUAUUUUGAAUAGCAGUUCAAAAUUCACCUGGUUGUUCACAUUUUUUAUUUAAGUUUUUGAUUAAAAACUAACAGAAUAGUAUAUUUAGAAGAACAGUCAUAAUCAGCCUGAAAUAUUAUUUCCUGGCAUACUUGGGUUCACUAAAGUAAGACAUCAUGACAGUUGUACUCCCAGAGUUGUUCUGCUCUAUCUGAAAAGUAUGUAAUAAAUAGAAUGAGCCUUCUCCUUGGGUAACCCCUGGGUUUCAGCCUCUGACUAAUUGUAUAUUAAGGACUAAGUCUUUUAAAUGGAAUAUGUAAGUCUCUGCUCUUGUGUUAUUGUUAGUAACUCAGGGCAAUUUAUCUGUGAUUUGUUAAAUUCCUUAAUACAAGCAGGGAUAUGGAGGUUUAUUCUAGAAAUGAUUUUAUAACAACCUACAGCCUGACAGAAUGCAAAACACUUGGGAAUGUGUUUUAGCAGAGUAUGUAAUCAACUGUAUAUAUAAUCCACCAAUCGCAAAGGCCUGGAACUCUUUAUGGAGAGUGUGCUGAUCAGGAACUCUGAGAAACACCUGCCACCACCACCUGGUUCUGGCAUUAUAUAUGUGCAUGGCCACCUACUCACAUUUCAUUUUAAUUUCAUUUUGUUAGUGGCAAUGUUCUCUUAUAAUCAUGCCUUUUGCAUUUCUGGGAGGCCCGAGUCCUGAUACAUCAACUUUCCAAAAGACAGAAUAAGUGUACUUGCCAGAAAAAUCUAAUGGCAAGUAAUCUAAGAAAUGUUGCUUUAUAACAUUGGACUAAAUGAGGGAAAGUUGGACAUGAUUGUGCACACCUACAAAAAAAAGAACUUGUGACGUAGAAUCAGAAGAUCAGGAGUUCCAAUUAGUGCAGGGAUCAUAGUAAAGUUAAAGCCAGCCUGGACUACAUACCUGAAAUCUUGUCUCAAAGUGGGGGUGAGUUGUGGUAGGGUGGAUUUUAACUGUCAAAUGUGUCUCCUUUGUUUGUGCUGUAUACUAAAGGCAAAGUUUCCAUUCAUUGGAAAGAAAAAAAUUAGAACUAGAUGACAUGACAGUUGAAGGUAGUCAGAAGCAAAGCUCAUUGUAUCCAUUCACAAUAUAAGAGUUCACAAAGUCGGUUUAACCAUUGAACAUUAAGAAAUUAGUAUUUAGAAAAGAGGAAUGAAAAUACUAAAAUGGUGUAUCCUUAAAGUGUAGUAGAAUCAUAGUAGCACAAAUUAUUGGCAUUGAAAACUAACAAAUUAUACUAAUGAAUGAUGCAAUAAAAUAAUAUUAAAGCUAUAAUUUGACAUUAGAAAAUAAAUAUUUAACUCUCACUGCUGAUGGUUAAUUAAGGAACCUGUGAUAAUAUCAAGGCUGGUUGGUAAGAACUGAAGGUAGAUUCAGAUUGCAUUAUGUAGUCAGGUAAGCCUUGAAAGGGUGCUUUGUUAGAAUCCAGUUGUAUGCUGAGAAUAUUUGCAUGAUAGGUUUCUUGUACAUAUCAUAUUUCUUUCAGUAGUUUAUUUCGGUAGAUUAUAUUAGUACACUAUAGGGUAAUUCAGGUUUUGUGUUUGUUUUUGUUAUGUCAUGAAACAGGAGUUUCAUGACUGCAGUUGUGAAAUGCUGCUAUAGUGACUCCCCUUACCUAUUCCUCAUAAUAGUGUAGUAAGAUCAUUUUUACUUUUUUGUUGUCUAGAGGUCAUGUUUCUUCUGCUAUUGCAAUUUUGUUAUAGUAGUUAUAAACCCUUUUUUUCACCCAGUGAGCAACAUUAAGCUGGCUAUUCCACCAUUAGGAAAGGCACAGAUGACUUGGCGGGUUCCCAUGUAUCAAACUCUACAUAUUUUGUAAUUAGAUGACUUUAGUUAAGCCACCUAGAAUGUUUUCAUGGAAAACAUUCAGAAUGAUGGGACCAUAUUCUCCUGGAUUAAAUCUUGUACUUUCUAGAUUGAUAUCCUGACCUAAGUAGUAAUAUGAGUAGUCUUUUAGGAAUUCCUUGUAAAUAGCUUUGUAAAUAGAGCAUCUAACUAUGCAUACCCUUUCCAACCUCCUAGAAAGAGGUGUACUGUUUUUUUUUCAUAAAUGUGAAUAUACCACCCUGUGUUUUUUAUUUGUAUAGUUAAACUCUGAGUAGCACAACAAAUCAGUAGUUUUGGCAGAGAUGUGUAUCAUAGGGACAGAUGCAGGACCUAGAGCCUGCUGAGGAAGCUAUAAUCCACAUCUAGAACAUAGAUUGUCUUUAAUAAAAUCUUUAUCGGUAGCUGUUUUCGUUAUCUUUUUUUUUUUGCUUUUUAUUUUAACUUUUUAACCCAUAUGUGGCCUUACAAUUAACAAAAGCUGCUAAUGAUUGCUAAAUUCUUUUGUUUUUCAUAAUUUUUUAUUUUAUAAAUUGACUAUCGACAUUAACUUGCAGAGAUAGGAAUUAGACACUGGAAGUAAGCAGAAUGGAGUUUUAAGUUGGAAAGUGUCCUUCUAGUUAUGAAUCACAUGUUUAUCCAACAAAUAAAUCUUAGAGUUUCAGUAUCAGCAAGAGGGUAAUUUUUCUUAAUACAGCUAUUUUAUAUUCUGAGACAUGGCAAGGCUAGCCUUGAAUUUGAAAUGUAGACAAGUCUGUCCUGUUUGUAAUGCUCUUGCCUAGGCUUCCCUGCUGCUGGAAUCACAGCCGUAAUUCCAUGGGCCUGGCUAGAUAUUUUACUUAGAAAUGUGUCAAAGGUGCCUCUUGCUCAAAAUUUUGAUUUCUAAAUUAUUCUUGCCAAUAUAAAAUUAAGUGUGUAUUGUAAAUUGACUUCACUUAUGUGAAAUUUUGGGUGAUAUAAAUUAUAAUAAAAUUAAUAGUCAUUAGGACAAAACCGUACUGCAGACUAGUUCUAACAGAUACUGGGGAUACAGGGUUUAAAUGAACACUCAAGAAGAGGCUGUUUGCUGGAAUGUUAACUAAAAUAAAUCUUAAAUGGCAGCAAUGUAUAAUGGAAGUCAUUUGCCAGAGAAUUCACUGAGCUAAUGAAUCCCAGUAUAGUAAUAAGGAAUUAUCUUAAAUUGAAUUACCAAAUUUCCUACUAAUGCUGUCUGAAAGCCUUAUCAAUAAUACCAUUACUGCUAUGUUCAUUAUUGUGUCUUCCCUGCUAUUCAUUGCUUCCUACAAAGCAGAGCGUGUUACUGCAGGCUUUUUUUCAGUCUUUUUCUUCCCAAAUUUCCUAUUAGAUAUUAGUUCUUUUUGGCCAGGUUUAGAAUACAACAGGGUAGCCUUAGUUAAUGUUUGCAUUUGGUUGCCUUUUUUAAAUAUAAAAAACAAAUUUUUAGUAGUACUUAUUUACAUAAAACACAAAUGUUCAUUCUUUAAGUUUCCGUUUGUUUGCUUUUAGAUACAAUGUUGUCAGGAAAAGUAUAUGUAUAGGUAAGUCAUCAGGUGUCCAUUUAAAUGGUGCAUUGUUAGAAUCCAGCUGUAUGCUGAGAAUAUUUGCAUGUUAGGUUUCUUAUAUGUACAUGACUUUUAUUUUAGUUCCUUGUUUUAGAAGAUGAUAUUAGUAGACUAUAUGGUAAUUCAGGUUUUGUGUGUGUUUGUGUUAUUUCAUGAAACAUGAGUUUCAUGACUGCAGUUGUGAAACGCUGCUAUAUUGAGUUCCCUUACCUUUUCCUAAUAAUAGUAUAGUAAGAUAAUUUUACUCUUUUUUGUUUAGAGAUUUUAUUUCUGUCUUUAUAAAAGUGAUAUUUCUACUGGUAAUGUUAUUUUAUGAUAGUAGUUACUGAGGUUUUUUUUUGUUUUUUUUGUUGUUGUUGUUGUUUUUACACCAAGCAACAUUAAGCUGCCUAUUCCAAAUGUAUAAAAGGCACAGAUGACUUUGUGGGUUCCUGCAGAUCAAACAUUUAUAAUUAGACGACUUUAGUUCAACCACACAGAAUGUUUUCAUGGAAAACAUUCAGAAUGAUGGGACCAUAUUCUCCUGGAUUAAAUCCUCUAGUUUCUUGAUUGAUAAUUAUACUGACCUAAGUAAUAACAUGAGUAGUCUUACGAAUUACUUCUAAAUAGCCUUGUAAAUGGAGCAUGAAACCAUACAAACCCUUUCCAGUCUCCUAGAAAGAGGUGUACUGUUUCUUCUUUCAUAAAUGUAAAUAUUCCAGACUGUGGCAUAUAAAUAUUUUGUGUGGCGUUCAUUCAACAAAGUGUUUCUUGUGAGUUUUAAUGCUUAUAGUUAAACUAUAUAAAUAGUGUUCCAAAUCCUACUUUUUUUGCCACAAAUGGUGAUUAUAGAGAUAGAUCUAGUGUGUUGUACAUGCAGAAAAAUUUACAUUCUCUGCCUAGCAUCGACAGCUUUUAGUGAAAUCCUCAUUGAUACUUUUUUAACGUUUAUUUUCUUUUUUUAUCCAUUUUGGCCUUAUCAUUUACAAGAGCUGUCAAUGACUGCUAAUUUUUAUUCUUCUUUAUCACACUUUUCCUUUAAAAAAAAGACAGAUUAUAGACAUUAUCUUGAUGAGACAGGAAUUGGUAAUCUCGAUAAUGAUCAUCUUCUGAAGUCAGCGUAUUGCAUCAAAGAGGAAGACGGCAUCAAAGAAAGUCACUAUGGCGUUUGUCAUUGACGUGGCAGGACUAGACACUUGGACAAGAAACUUCUCUUCCUGGGCUGCUUGACAGCAUGCUGUCCAAACUGGACAAGCACGUUACAAUGAAAAGGGACUGCUGAACAUGCGAAGGGACAGGAUGAUUCUUCAAUAACCUCCUUCAUCAAAAAGUCUGCCAAACAUCUAGGCAUGUAAGCUGAAUAGGGAUUCCCCAAUGUUGCAAAGCAACAUUGGUAGACUUUCGAGAUGUCUCUGUAUUAUCCUUCUGGAGUCUUUGGUGCUGUUGAAGACAGAUAUUUGUCGUUAUUGAUUAUAAAUAAUUUGCAUGUAAGACUUUAAACUAAGAAUGAUAGAAUAAAUGAUAGAAUGUUUUCUUUAAUUUUCCAAAUGUUAAUGGAAUAAAUAUGGUUAACCAUUGUUUUUUGCUUAUUAACUUUUGUAAUGUGUAAUUGUACUCUGUUAAAUUUAAAUUUCCUUGUUUUUCCAGACAGAAAGAGGAGAUGAUAUGGGAUGUCCUUCUGUAUGAUGUGAAUAUAUAUUUCUCUUCUUGGUAGAUGAAUAAAGCUGUGCAGGUAAAUGGCCAGGCAGGAUAUACCAAGAUAGGAUGUAUAGGUAAUACAACUAAAGUAGGAGAAUUCUGAGGGGGAAACACAUAGAGCAAGUCUUCAGAUAGAUGCUACAUAGCUGCUAGGAACACAGGUUGCCUGGCCAUUUUCUGGUAAGCCAAAUCAACCUGGAUAUUCACUGAUUAAUAGAAAUGUGUAGGUAAUUAAAGGCAGGUAGGCAAAAUGUAGCCUUUGCCAAACGAUAAACAGUUUAUAGUUUAUAUAACCCGCUGAAUGUUUAUUGGGACUGAAGUGUGGCAGAAUCAGGAUGAACACUGACUUCUGCCCACACAUUGCUGUUAGUGGAACAUUUACUGAGUUACAUUGUUUUGGAAACAGGGAUGGUAGAGAUUCCGUAUUCUCACAGUUCACUGGUCAGCAAUGUGUUCCUGAGAAACAGUGGUGACCCCAAUAGUCACUUUCUAAAUGACAUGUGCAAACUUGUGUUGCGGUUUUUUCCCAGUUGUUGUUUGCUAGUAACAACACAAUGGGGAAGCAUUUCUACACAACCAGCCUUAGCUUAUCAUAGAUUUGGGGGCUAGGUACCAACAAAAGUGAUUGAAGAAAAGUUACUUUUAUUUCUGUCAAAUUAUUUUGAAUGCUCUGACUUCUUUAAUUUCCAUGAAUAGCUUUAUAAAUGUAUACAAAAUUAAAAUGUAACUCAGAAAUAUAAAUCACUAUUGGAGUUUGCUGUUUGGAAAGUUAUACUCCUAUUGUAUCAAUUUGUGUUACCUUUCAAUGGCCAAUAUUCUAAGAACAGUUUUUAAACUAUUCAAAUUCUUGUGCCAGCUUUCCCUAAGGACAUGAAAAAUUAUGAUCUUAUAUUAAGUAUGUAUACCCUCAUGAAUUUUGUAUUAAAUGCCGUGCACUGUUUUAUUAGACUCAAAAAUCUUAAAGAAAUUUAUAAAACAAGUAAUAAAUUAUGUAAACAUACUUUUUCAAA
This is a long non-coding RNA of Mesocricetus auratus (golden hamster), 7505 nucleotides long. RefSeq lists it as uncharacterized. NCBI's taxonomy places the organism in Eukaryota, Metazoa, Chordata, Mammalia, Rodentia, Cricetidae. The record is from RefSeq and is a predicted model, not a curated record. The transcript is spliced from 2 exons.